GCCGCUACGGUGGCAGGUGGUGCAGUAUCCUAGUCGGCCGCAGCGUUUUUGAAGGCGGGCCUAAAAAUCCGUCAAAGGGCACAUCGAUGAAGUUCCUGGUGUCGGCUUUCGACGCCCCGUCGGGGGUUGGUGCUGGGAGUUAAGGAAGAUGGGGCGAUCCACAAGGGCAUGUGGGCGUUGACCCCGCUUCCGCGGAGGCCCAAGUGCGUGGUGACCUAUGGCGAGUAGGAAGCUAUGGCUUGGGGUUGAACCUGCAAUUCAUUAUCCUGUUACGGCAGGAUGGUGGGUGCAGUGUAGCCUGCCUUGAGCGGGUGUAGAGGAUGGCGAGCUAUCAGGCCUUUUAACCGAUGGCGCCGAGGUUAAGGGACCUGUCGCCUGAAACUGCAUCUGCAAAAGAGGCUAGAAGACGCCGGCGGUCGCCGAAGAAAUUUCCUAGGCUGCCCACCAGAGAUGGAGUUUGCUGGGGAUUAAAGUGUGGACUAAGUGGUAAUCCAGUCUUGCCGGCGGUGACGCGGCAAAACGAUGGGAAAGGGGAAACCGCCUCAUGCGGCGACGCAGAGGAGCAUCGUCUGGGAAAACCUACUGGACCUGAAGCCACAACGUUUACUCAGCAGACUACCACCUGCCAGUAGUAGCCU
RNAcentral lists this small RNA (638 nucleotides) under Carboxydocella thermautotrophica DSM 16521. The record is from RNAcentral. Lineage: Bacteria; Bacillati; Bacillota; Clostridia; Eubacteriales; Clostridiales Family XVI. Incertae Sedis.